UCGAGCGACAGAGAAGUGCUUGCACUUUCAAAGUUAGCGGCGGACGGGUGAGUAACACGUAAGGAACCUACCGAUAAGCGGGGGACAACAUCCGGAAACGGGUGCUAAUACCGCAUAGGAAGUUUAUUCGCAUGAACAAACUUAGAAAGAUGGCUCUGCUAUCACUUAUCGAUGGCCUUGCGGUGCAUUAACUAGUUGGCGAGGUAACGGCUCACCAAGGUGAUGAUGCAUAGCCGACCUGAGAGGGUAAUCGGCCACAUUGGGACUGAGACACGGCCCAAACUCCUACGGGAGGCAGCAGUAGGGAAUCUUCCGCAAUGGACGCAAGUCUGACGGAGCAACGCCGCGUGAGUGAGGAAGGUUUUCGGAUCGUAAAACUCUGUUGUAAGAGAAGAACAAAUUGUAGAGUAACUGCUACAGUCUUGACGGUAUCUUACCAGAAAGCCACGGCUAACUACGUGCCAGCAGCCGCGGUAAUACGUAGGUGGCAAGCGUUGUCCGGAUUUAUUGGGCGUAAAGGGGGCGCAGGCUGCUUCUUAAGUCUGAUGUGAAAGCCCACGGCUUAACCGUGGAAGUGCAUUGGAAACUGGGAAGCUUGAGUACAGAAGAGGAAAGUGGAACUCCAUGUGUAGCGGUGGAAUGCGUAGAUAUAUGGAAGAACACCAGUGGCGAAAGCGACUUUCUGGUCUGUCACUGAC
This 698-nucleotide ribosomal RNA is filed under the name uncultured bacterium. Its description in RNAcentral is "bacterial SSU rRNA". It matches the Rfam family "Bacterial small subunit ribosomal RNA", at positions 62 to 744 of the family's 1533-position model. The record is from RNAcentral.